RNAcentral lists this ribosomal RNA (257 nucleotides) under uncultured bacterium. Its description in RNAcentral is "partial 16S ribosomal RNA". It matches the Rfam family "Bacterial small subunit ribosomal RNA", at positions 100 to 353 of the family's 1533-position model. The record is from RNAcentral.
ACGGGUGGAGUAACGCGUGGGUAACCUGCCUCAUACAGGGGGAGUAACAGUUAGAAAUAGACUGCUAAUACCGCAUAAGCGCACAGUGCUGCAUGGCACAGUGUGAAAAACUCCGGUGGUAUGAGAUGGACCCGCGUCUGAUUAGCUAGUUGGUGGGGUAACGGCCUACCAAGGCGACGAUCAGUAGCCGGCCUGAGAGGGUGAACGGCCACAUUGGGACUGAGACACGGCCCAAACUCCUACGGGGAGGCAGCAUG